UACGUAGGGUGCAAGCGUUAAUCGGAAUUACUGGGCGUAAAGCGUGCGCAGGCGGUUAUGUAAGGCAGUUGUGAAAUCCCCGGGCUCAACCUGGGAAUGGCAAUGGAUACUGGGCAGCUAGAGUGUGUCAGAGGAUGGUGGAAUUCCCGGUGUAGCGGUGAAAUGCGUAGAGAUCGGGAGGAACAUCAGUGGCGAAGGCGGCCAUCUGGGACAACACUGACGCUGAAGCACGAAAGCGUGGGGAGCAAACAGG
Molecule: ribosomal RNA, 253 nt
Filed under: uncultured bacterium
Lineage: Bacteria
Description: partial 16S ribosomal RNA
Rfam family: Bacterial small subunit ribosomal RNA
Source: RNAcentral